CAGCCGCCACGGGAAUACGAAGGGUGCAAGCGUUACUCGGAAUUACUGGGCGUAAAGCGUGCGUAGGUGGUGGUUUAAGUCCGUUGUGAAAGCCCUGGGCUCAACCUGGGAAUUGCAGUGGAUACUGGCAAGCUAGAGUGUGUCAGAGGAUGGUGGAAUUCCCGGUGUAGCGGUGAAAUGCGUAGAGAUCGGGAGGAACAUCAGUGGCGAAGGCGGCCAUCUGGGACAACACUGACGCUGAGGCACGAAAGCGUGGGGAGCAAACAGGAUUAGAUACCCCCGUAGUCCCUGUCUCUUAUAA
RNAcentral lists this ribosomal RNA (301 nucleotides) under uncultured bacterium. Its description in RNAcentral is "partial 16S ribosomal RNA". It matches the Rfam family "Bacterial small subunit ribosomal RNA", at positions 509 to 809 of the family's 1533-position model. The record is from RNAcentral.